CUGUAGUGCAAUUGAUAGCACUUUGGACUUCUAAUCCAAAGGACGUGGGUUCGUAUCCCGACUGGAAAGG
RNAcentral lists this transfer RNA (70 nucleotides) under Trichonephila inaurata madagascariensis. Its description in RNAcentral is "tRNA-Arg". It matches the Rfam family "tRNA". From Rfam's summary of the family: Transfer RNA (tRNA) molecules are approximately 80 nucleotides in length. Their secondary structure includes four short double-helical elements and three loops (D, anti-codon, and T loops). The record is from RNAcentral. Lineage: Eukaryota; Metazoa; Arthropoda; Arachnida; Araneae; Nephilidae.